UUUCAAAAACUUUGAAUAAGAUGGUAUCUGCUGGAUGGCCUCAGAGAAUGGAAUGGUUAUUUCCAAUUUCUUGAAAAUUUCCAUGAAACGAUCAAAUUGUCUCUGUUUCUCUUUUCUGGAAUAUAUUUUUGGAUAAGGUAGAGGUUUUUCGUACUCCUUUUCUUUGAACUUCUCAGCUUCUUCUUUCUGUUCAUCACUCCAUAGAUUUUUUUCUUUCUCUUCUUCCUUUUGAUUUUCUUCUUCUUCUCUACUUCCCUUAUCAUCAACCUCUCUUUCUUUUCCGAUUCUCCCACUUUUAGUAACAAUUUCACAAACUUCUUCCCCCAUACCUUUUACCACGCAAUCAUUAGUAUAAGAACUUUUCUUCGUAAUUCUCUUGAAGGUUUCUUCGGCUUCUGUACUUCUCUAAAUAGGGUUGAAACGGAGCAUUUGUGGAACCUGUGAAGUUUCUAUACAAGUUUGUGAUAACUCAGCAAGUCUUCUUGUCACUUCCUUCAACUGCUGUGUAAUCACGUUAUUGUGAAUCAUUGAAAGCUCCUUAAUAGCAUCAACAUGCGUGUCAUGUGCUUCUUCGUUGUCAGCCAUAAGUUCUAUCAAAUUAUAAGCUUCUUCUUCAAUCUUCCCGUUAAUACCCCCUCCAGCAGAAGCGUUUAACACCAUCUUCGACUGAAGGCACAGGCCUCCCAGGAACACAAGCAAAUAUGAAGUAUUAUCGAGCCCAUGGACUGGAGUCAUUCUUAACAAGCCUUUAAACCUAUUCCAUGCCCUUCCAAAAGUUUCUUCUCUUCCUUGUUUGAAUGAAGAAAUCUCUAGCCUCCCUUGAUUGAUCCUCGCAGGCGGGAAGAAUUUUGAAAUAAAUUGAUUUGCCAC
This 870-nucleotide long non-coding RNA is filed under the name Vigna radiata. RNAcentral's name for it is "long non-coding RNA (VRAD_LNC000093)". The record is from RNAcentral. Lineage: Eukaryota; Viridiplantae; Streptophyta; Magnoliopsida; Fabales; Fabaceae.